GCCAGCGAUGGCCGGUUGCGAGGUGCUGCAUGGUUGUCGUCAGCUCGUGCCGUGAGGUGUCGGGUUAAGGUCCCAUAACGAGCGCAACCCCUACUGCUAGUUGCCAGCGGGUCAUGCCGGGGACUCUAGCGGAACUGCCAGCGUAAGCUGCGAGGAAGGUGGGGAUGACGUCAAAUCAGCACGGCCUUACGUCCAGGGCUACACACGUGUUACAAUGGCCAGUACAGAGGGCAGCCACCCCGCGAGGGGGCGCUAAUCCUAAAAGCUGGUCCCAGUUCGGAUCGGAGUCUGCAACCCGACUCCGUGAAGCUGGAUUCGCUAGUAAUCGCGCAUCAGCCACGGCGCGGUGAAUACGUUCCCGGGCCUU
RNAcentral lists this ribosomal RNA (367 nucleotides) under uncultured Rikenellaceae bacterium. Its description in RNAcentral is "bacterial SSU rRNA". It matches the Rfam family "Bacterial small subunit ribosomal RNA", at positions 1014 to 1382 of the family's 1533-position model. Lineage: Bacteria; Pseudomonadati; Bacteroidota; Bacteroidia; Bacteroidales; Rikenellaceae. The record is from RNAcentral.